CCUACGGGUGGCUGCAGUGGGGAAUAUUGCACAAUGGGCGCAAGCCUGACGCAGCCAUGCCGCGUGUGUGAAGAAGGCCUUCGGGUUGUAAAGCACUUUCAGCGGGGAGGAAGGCGGUGAGGUUAAUAACCUCAUCGAUUGACGUUACCCGCAGAAGAAGCACCGGCUAACUCCGUGCCAGCAGCCGCGGUAAUACGGAGGGUGCAAGCGUUAAUCGGAAUUACUGGGCGUAAAGCGCACGCAGGCGGUCUGUCAAGUCGGAUGUGAAAUCCCCGGGCUCAACCUGGGAACUGCAUUCGAAACUGGCAGGCUAGAGUCUUGUAGAGGGGGGUAGAAUUCCAGGUGUAGCGGUGAAAUGCGUAGAGAUCUGGAGGAAUACCGGUGGCGAAGGCGGCCCCCUGGACAAAGACUGACGCUCAGGUGCGAAAGCGUGGGGAGCAAACAGGAUUAGAUACCCGUGUAGUC
RNAcentral lists this ribosomal RNA (465 nucleotides) under uncultured Klebsiella sp. RNAcentral describes it as "bacterial SSU rRNA". It matches the Rfam family "Bacterial small subunit ribosomal RNA", at positions 338 to 795 of the family's 1533-position model. Lineage: Bacteria; Pseudomonadati; Pseudomonadota; Gammaproteobacteria; Enterobacterales; Enterobacteriaceae. The record is from RNAcentral.